Molecule: ribosomal RNA, 718 nt
Filed under: uncultured Pseudomonadota bacterium
Lineage: Bacteria; Pseudomonadati; Pseudomonadota
Description: bacterial SSU rRNA
Rfam family: Bacterial small subunit ribosomal RNA
Source: RNAcentral
GCCUAACACAUGCAAGUCGAACGGUAACAGGAAACAGCUUGCUGUCUCGCUGACGAGUGGCGGACGGGUGAGUAAUGUCUGGGAAACUGCCUGAUGGAGGGGGAUAACUACUGGAAACGGUAGCUAAUACCGCAUAACGUCGCAAGACCAAAGAGGGGGACCCUCGGGCCUCUUGCCAUCGGAUGUGCCCAGAUGGGAUUAGCUUGUUGGUGGGGUAACGGCUCACCAAGGCGACGAUCCCUAGCUGGUCUGAGAGGAUGACCAGCCACACUGGAACUGAGACACGGUCCAGACUCCUACGGGAGGCAGCAGUGGGGAAUAUUGCACAAUGGGCGCAAGCCUGAUGCAGCCAUGCCGCGUGUAUGAAGAAGGCCUUCGGGUUGUAAAGUACUUUCAGCGGGGAGGAAGGGAGUAAAGUUAAUACCUUUGCUCAUUGACGUUACCCGCAGAAGAAGCACCGGCUAACUCCGUGCCAGCAGCCGCGGUAAUACGGAGGGUGCAAGCGUUAAUCGGAAUUACUGGGCGUAAAGCGCACGCAGGCGGUUUGUUAAGUCAGAUGUGAAAUCCCCGGGCUCAACCUGGGAACUGCAUCUGAUACUGGCAAGCUUGAGUCUCGUAGAGGGGGGUAGAAUUCCAGGUGUAGCGGUGAAAUGCGUAGAGAUCUGGAGGAAUACCGGUGGCGAAGGGCGGCCCCCUGGACGAAGACUGACGCUCAGGU